GAGCUGGAGGUUGCCUAGAAGCGGAGGAGACACAGAAAUUCAUUCACAACGGGGGAUGAAAUAAAAUGAAGCCUAUCAAUUGCCUCGAAUCGCCUUCCUGAAAGUCUGUGUUUCCCGUGCGAGCAUUUCAGCAAGGUAAGAAACAUGGAUGUUCCUCCAGCACAAAGGAUUAGGAGUCGCAAAUAAAUUAGGAUUAAAUUAGUGAUUAAGACAGCUAGCGACUGCUCCUGCUAAUCUCAGCAGCAAGUCCAAGGAGUGAGGGAGGAAGGGAGAGAGCAAAAAACAGAGAGAAGUGCAGGAGAGAGAGAAGGAGGGAGAAGAGAGAGAGCCUACAGUGUCGCCCUUUAAGAACUGAAAGACAGAGCGAUUGAGAGAGAGAGGGAGAGGGGGAGAGAGAGAGAGAUUGAGAGAGAGGGAGAGAGAUUAAGAGAGAGAAAGAGCCAGGGAGAGAUUGAGAGAGAGAUAGAGAGGGAGAGGGAGAGAGAGAUUGAGAGUGAAAGCGGCAAAGAGAGAGCUAGCAGAGAAGUAUGCUGGAAACUGGCUGAUCCUGGUUGGCGUCUCCCUGGUUAAACUCUGGAUAGAAAGAACAGGUGGCAGGGGCUUGUUGGCCACUUCUCGGAGGUGAACUGGACUGAUCUCAGAGGUGUUCAGUGGGAGUACAGGGACCAGGGACCAGGGACCCCCCACCUGUCCUCCCCCCUGACUGACGGAGAUGCAGACAGAGGGGGCUUUUCUGGAGCCAGAAUGGACGUUCUACAGAGAGGCCACGUCCCACAUGGCACACACGCAUGAAGGUCUCCACUAACACAGGGGGACCCUGCCAUGAGCUAAGCCCCCUGCGCGCUACAGCGAGAUGACAGCCGUGUGUCCGAGCAGGGACCCCGUCCUGGA
Long non-coding RNA from Conger conger (European conger), 891 nucleotides. RefSeq lists it as uncharacterized. The transcript has 3 exons. Lineage: Eukaryota; Metazoa; Chordata; Actinopteri; Anguilliformes; Congridae. The record is from RefSeq and is a predicted model, not a curated record.